GACGAACGCUGGCGGCGUGCCUAAUACAUGCAAGUCGAACGAACCGCGACUAGGUGCUUGCACUUGGUCAAGGUGAGUGGCGAACGGGUGAGUAACACGUGGGUAACCUACCUCAUAGUGGGGGAUAACAGUCGGAAACGACUGCUAAUACCGCAUAGGACAUAGGAUCACAUGAUCCAGUGAGGAAAGGUGGCGCAAGCUAUCGCUAAGAGAUGGACCCGCGGUGCAUUAGCUAGUUGGUAGGGUAAAGGCCUACCAAGGCGAUGAUGCAUAGCCGACCUGAGAGGGUGACCGGCCACAUUGGGACUGAGACACGGCCCAAACUCCUACGGGAGGCAGCAGUAGGGAAUCUUCCGCAAUGGACGCAAGUCUGACGGAGCAACGCCGCGUGAGUGAAGAAGGUCUUCGGAUCGUAAAGCUCUGUUGUUAGAGAAGAACAGCGCAUAGAGUAACUGUUAUGCGUGUGACGGUAGCUAACCAGAAAGCCACGGCUAACUACGUG
RNAcentral lists this ribosomal RNA (502 nucleotides) under uncultured bacterium. RNAcentral describes it as "partial 16S ribosomal RNA". It matches the Rfam family "Bacterial small subunit ribosomal RNA", at positions 28 to 507 of the family's 1533-position model. The record is from RNAcentral.